UGGGGGGGAGAAUCAAAUAUGCUACUUCUGUGUGCUCAGCCACGAAGCUUCUCAGAAAGUGUAAAAGAUUUUCCAAGCUUUGUCUGUCUGUCUGUCUGUCCUGUGGUUCCCUUCUGGCAUCUCCCGUUCCACACGUCCCUUCUAUAACCUGGCAUUUUUUAAAAGAGAGAUUUUUUGGGUUGUUUUUUCAAUAAAAGGGAAGAACAGACAUCAAACGUGUCCUGGAGCAUCUCUGGGGUGUUUCACACCUGGGGAGGGAAUCCCAGUUCACAAAAUCCUCAGGGCUGGAAGAAUCCUGGCAUUCCCGUGGCACCACCACAGUCUUGUCACCUAAACCUUGUCCCCAGGUCCCACAGGAUGAGAGUGGCUCCUCUUUUUAUCUUGCAGAGCUGGUUGGGCCUGGCUGCCUCACCUCAGGAACCCCCGGACGGACCUUCCUGGUUUUCCGGCCCUUCCUGGCCACGCCUGUCCCACAAGGGGCAGGGGACUCUCCUGGCAUCCCAAGCAGGAUCCUGCCUUCGUCCCUCGCCUGGCUCCCUCCCGCCUGCUGGGAGAGGGUCGGGACUCCUCGGCAUCGGCUCCACCAUCAAUCCCCUCCUGGUAUCCCACCAUUCCACCUGCCCAUUCCAGGAGCGAGGAGCGCAUCACCUGCCCACACCUGCACAGGUCCCAGGGGGAACCUCAGGGCGGCACCAUGUCCCAGGCCACCACCUGCCUCAAGCCGCAGGGAGAUGGCGGGGGGGGCCCCCCACCACUGCCAUCACCACCAGGAUCCCCGCGCAUUUUCCCUCCGGAGACGCUGUUCCGACAGGCAGGUGGGGUCACCUACCGCAUCCCGGCCCUGCUCUACGUGCCCCCGGAUGAUUCCUUCCUGGCCUUUGCCGAGAAGCGCUCCUCGGCCCGGGACGAGGAUGCCAAGUACCUGGUGCUGCGGCGGGGCCGCCGGCACGGCUCCUCGGUGAAGGUAAAACGCCCGCGGGCUGUAGGGACACGGGGUGGGCGCGAUGCCGGGGGGCCCCCGCGGCUGAGCCCCCUUUUCCUUCCUGCCGGCAGUGGGGGCC
RNAcentral lists this long non-coding RNA (1061 nucleotides) under Geospiza fortis (medium ground-finch). RNAcentral describes it as "lncRNA (ENSGFOG00000011579.1)". Lineage: Eukaryota; Metazoa; Chordata; Aves; Passeriformes; Thraupidae. The record is from RNAcentral.